RNAcentral lists this ribosomal RNA (1317 nucleotides) under Lauridromia dehaani. RNAcentral describes it as "16S ribosomal RNA". The stretch from base 621 to 1317 matches the Rfam family "Archaeal large subunit ribosomal RNA", at positions 1423 to 2802 of the family's 2987-position model. Lineage: Eukaryota; Metazoa; Arthropoda; Malacostraca; Decapoda; Dromiidae. The record is from RNAcentral.
UUUUGGUAUAUUGUUUAAAAGAUAUAGGAUAAUUUAUUAAGUAAGAAAAAUAAUUUUUUAUUUAGAAGUUAAGUAUAUAUUAUGGAAAAAUUAGUGUGGACUAUAGAGUAAAAGUAUAGUAGUAGAAAUCUUAAAUAAUUGAAAAUAUAAAAUUUUAAAAGUAAUAUUAAAUUUUUGUACCUUGGGUAUCAGGGAAAAUUAAAAUAAGCUAGAAAUAUUAGGUAUCCCGAAAGAGAAAUAGUUAAUUUUUUUUAUAGUUUUCGUGUUAAUGAAAUUAUUAAAUAAAUAUUAAAGGUGAGAUGUUAGUCGGGUUUUUUAUAUCUGGUUUUUUACGAAUGAAUUUAAUUCUAAUUUUAUUUAAAAAUUAAAAUAAGGUGAAGGGGUAGGAGGGUUGAGCUUCUUAUUCUAGAAUUUUUUUGCUAUAAAAAUAUAAUAUGUUCAUAAAAAGAUUAGGCUUAAAAGUAGCUAUAUUAGGAGUGUGUUUUAACAUAUUUUUGUGUUUAAAUUGUUUAUGUUUUUUUAGUGUAAUUAGUAAAAUAUUUUUGUUAAUGUUAAAUAAUAAGAAAAAAUGAUUUUAUGAGUAUAUUGUAGUGUGGAUUAAAAAAUUGAAAUAAGAGAGGUGUAUAAGGUUAUAAGAUAUAAAAGAGGAAUUCGGCAAAAGAAAUUUCUUGCCUGUUUAUCAAAAACAUGUCUGUUUGUAGCUAUAAAGAGUCUAGCCUGCCCACUGAAAAAUUAAAGGGCCGCGGUAUUUUGACCGUGCAAAGGUAGCAUAAUCACUAGUCUUUUAAUUGAAGGCUUGAAUGAAUGGUUGAACAAAGAAAUAACUGUCUUUUUUAUAAGAAUUGAAUUUAACUUUAAAGUGAGAAGGCUUUAAUUUACUAAAGGGACGAUAAGACCCUAUAAAGCUUUACAUGAUUAGUUGUUUUUUAUGGAUUUAUAAGUUUAAUUUUAAAAAAUAAAGUUGUGUUUUGUUGGGGUGACAUGAGUAUAAGUUUUAUAACUGCUUAGGUGUUUAAACAUAAGUUAAUGAGUUUUGAUCCUUAAUAAAGAUUACCAGAAUAAGUUACUUUAGGGAUAACAGCGUUAUUUUUCUUGAGAGUUCAUAUCGAAAGAAAAAAUUGCGACCUCGAUGUUGAAUUAAGAUUUCUUUAUAAUGCAGCAGUUAUAAUAGAAGGUCUGUUCGACCUUUAAAUUUUUACAUGAUUUGAGUUCAGACCGGUGUAAGCCAGGUUGGUUUCUAUCUUUUAGGAAAGGAAUAAUUACUUUAGUACGAAAGGAUUAAGUAAUUAAAAUAGUUUUUAUAAGUUGAAUAAUUAA